CAUUAAUGAUUAUACUAGGGGUUGAUGCUGGUAGCCUUUGGCUACAUGUGCUCACUUCUAUCAAUCAUCUUCCAAACACCUGUGCACACUUUUGGGGGGUCUGCAAGCUAAUUGCCAUAUUUGGGCGAUUUGCGUGUAAUUCCCCUCAAUAUUAAUACUUAUACUCUACUAAUAAUGUUGAACGUGUUGUGCCGCAAGGCCUUAAUGAUAAAUACAACUUUUAACAACGGAUCUCUUGGCUCUCGCAUCGAUGAAGAACNCAGCGAAAUGCGAUAAGUAAUGUGAAUUGCAGAAUUCAGUGAAUCAUCGAAUCUUUGAACGCACCUUGCGCUCCCUGGUAUUCCGGGGAGCACGCCUGUUCGAGUGUCGCGAAAUUUCUCAAGCUUUUAGAUGGCCUUUAUUGUCUGUCCUAGAGUCUUGGUUAUUGGGCUUUGCCAUAAUCCCUUCUGGGGGAAUGGCUGGCUUUAAAAACAUUAGCUGGUCCUCAUACGAUAUCGGUUCUACUCAGCGUGAUAAUUUAUCUGAUCGCUGAGGACAUCCUUUUAGGAUGGCCAGUGUCUAUUUGGGUUGCUUUUCUAAUCUUUGGGUUUCAUUCUGAGAUCCAUAUUUUCAUUUUGACCUCGAAUCAGGUGGGACUACCCGCUGAACUUAAGCAUAUCAAUAAGCGGAGGAAAAGAAACUAACAAGGAUUCCCCUAGUAACGGCGAGUGAAGCGGGAAGAGCUCAAAUUUAAAAUCUGGCAGCCUUUGGUUGUCCGAAUUGUAAUCUAGAGAAGCGUUUUCCGCGCUGGACUGUGUACAAGUUUCCUGGAUACGGAACAUCAUAGAGGGUGAGAAUCCCGUCCUUGACACAGACUCCCAGUGCUUUGUGAUGCGCUCUCGACGAGUCGAGUUGUUUGGGA
Molecule: ribosomal RNA, 901 nt
Filed under: uncultured fungus
Lineage: Eukaryota; Fungi
Description: eukaryotic LSU rRNA
Rfam family: Eukaryotic large subunit ribosomal RNA (bases 616-901)
Source: RNAcentral